UUAUAUGUGUAAUACCAUUCCAGUUUUCACCAGUAAUAUUAUAGGUUACCUGUGAUUAAAUAUAAAAUUAACACACUGUCAAUGCUUACGCAUUGACUCAAGCAGCCAUUUUUUCCCACACCAAUUCUUGCUAUUUUGCAGCAGCAGCCGCUGUCUUACU
Etheostoma spectabile (orangethroat darter) is the source of this 160-nucleotide long non-coding RNA. RefSeq lists it as uncharacterized. The transcript is spliced from 3 exons. The record is from RefSeq and is a predicted model, not a curated record. NCBI's taxonomy places the organism in Eukaryota, Metazoa, Chordata, Actinopteri, Perciformes, Percidae.